GUCAGGGGCGCGCUCGGGGCCCGAGCGAGCGAGGCGCACCGGGCAGGAGCUCGCGCCCACGGGCUUCGGUCCUAGGCGCCCGCGUAGGUUCUUGUUGGAAGGGGCGCGCUCAGGGAAUUGGCCGGGCAGAAGUAAGGCGAUCAUGCUCUGGGCCAGCGCCGCCAGCAAGGACCUUGGCGGCCAGGGAGGCGGCCUGAGGUCCCGCCCUUCCUCCCGCGCGAGGGCUUGGCAGCGCUUGGAGGCUCUGGGCGGGUCAACCCGCCGCCCUGGACGCCGGGCCGCAGCAGCUGGGCGCUGGUGAACACCUGUUUUCCUCAAAGUGGCUCCAUCAGGUGAAGAUGCUGGGAGCUAAUGGAAAAAAACAAACUGGGAAACCACUGGACCAAGAGUUCGGCAUCCCUGGGUCUUUGGGCUCCGCUACUGAAACCGGAUUGAGGAAUUAUACCUCUGGUCUGAGUUUCUUCAAAGCUCAUAGGAGGGAUUUACACUCUGUGGUCUGCAUUCUGUGACUGAUCAUUUCGUGUCUCAUUCAGCCAAUUGAAUUAAAGCGUCCGAUAUACUCUA
This is a long non-coding RNA of Marmota monax (woodchuck), 564 nucleotides long. RefSeq lists it as uncharacterized. NCBI's taxonomy places the organism in Eukaryota, Metazoa, Chordata, Mammalia, Rodentia, Sciuridae. The record is from RefSeq and is a predicted model, not a curated record. The transcript is spliced from 2 exons.